RNAcentral lists this ribosomal RNA (511 nucleotides) under uncultured Glomus. RNAcentral describes it as "SSU rRNA". It matches the Rfam family "Eukaryotic small subunit ribosomal RNA", at positions 569 to 1081 of the family's 1831-position model. Lineage: Eukaryota; Fungi; Glomeromycota; Glomeromycetes; Glomerales; Glomeraceae. The record is from RNAcentral.
AGCAGCCGCGGUAAUUCCAGCUCCAAUAGCGUAUAUUAAAGUUGUUGCAGUUAAAAAGCUCGUAGUUGAAUUUCGGGAUCAAUAUGUCGGUCGUGCUUAGGUGCGUACUGGCAUUAUUGGUUUCUCCUUUCUGAUGAACCAUGAUGCCAUUAAUUUGGUGUUAUGGGGAAUCAGGACUGUUACCUUGAAAAAAUUAGAGUGUUUAAAGCAGGCUCACGCUUGAAUACAUUAGCAUGGAAUAAUGAAAUAGGACGUUUGAUUCUAUUUUGUUGGUUUCUAGGAUCGACGUAAUGAUUAAUAGGGAUAGUUGGGGGGCAUUAGUAUUCAAUUGUCAGAGGUGAAAUUCUUGGAUUUAUUGAAGACUAACUACUGCGAAAGCAUUUGCCAAGGAUGUUUUCAUUAAUCAAGAACGAAAGUUAGGGGAUCGAAGACGAUCAGAUACCGUCGUAGUCUUAACCAUAAACUAUGCCGACUAGGGAUCGGAUGAUGUUAAUUUUUUAAUGACUCAUUC